GAAUAUUAAGUGCAGUGGUGUUUGCAAUUAAUGAUCACAACCAGUUACAGAUUGCUUUGUUCUUUCUCCUGCUGCUUCACUUGCCUAUGCUUUA
Molecule: unclassified non-coding RNA, 94 nt
Organism: Cercocebus atys (sooty mangabey)
Lineage: Eukaryota; Metazoa; Chordata; Mammalia; Primates; Cercopithecidae
Rfam family: Y RNA
About the family: Y RNAs are components of the Ro ribonucleoprotein particle (Ro RNP), in association with Ro60 and La proteins. The Y RNAs and Ro60 and La proteins are well conserved, but the function of the Ro RNP is not known.
Source: Ensembl